Molecule: RNA transcript, 1885 nt
Organism: Camellia sinensis
Lineage: Eukaryota; Viridiplantae; Streptophyta; Magnoliopsida; Ericales; Theaceae
Gene name: SMAD/FHA domain-containing protein
Source: RefSeq, a predicted model, not a curated record
UCUCUCUCUCAUCUUCUUCAGUUCUACACUUCGCUUAGUAUCUGUAUCUGCAUAACAAUGGAGGAAGAAGCCUCCACCUUGAAGCUAAUCAUGGAGAAAGGCCCUCGAGAGGGCGAAACCCUAGAAUACAGACCUGGAUCCGUGAUCCGAAUAGGCAGAGUCGUCCGUGGCAACACAUUCGCCAUCAAAGACGCAGGUAUUUCUUCCAAACACCUCUUGAUCGAAUCCAAAUCGGGCAAAUGGGUCAUCACCGACCUCGAUACCUCUAACGGCACCGUUUUGAACGGUUCACAGCUCCAGCCUCUGAGCCCCUCCGAUCUCGGCGAUGGCGACACCAUCAAGUUCGGCGAGUAUACCUCCAUUAAGGUGAAGAUUGAGGUCAAGGGCGAUGAUAAUCGGUUGCGGCGAAACCCUAGAAAUCGAGCGGCUAAGGAGGAGGAGGAAUCGUGUGGUGUGGGUGUUGUGGCAGAGAAGCCGAAUUUGAGUUCGAUUGGUGAUUGUGGUGCGUUAGGGUUACGGUUUGAUGGACAAUUGGUGAAUAAGACGGAGGUUGCGGCAGAGAAUAAGAGGCGGCGAGGUCCUCCAAGGAGAGGUAAGGCUGUGACUACUGAGAUUCAAGAGAGAUUAUGUGAGGUUGAGAACAUUGGUGCAGAAUUGGGGAAAGAAGUGGUGGUGGUGGAAGAGAAGAACAGACGGCCAGGUCGGCCAAGGAAAGGUAAGGUUUUGAAGAGUGAGCCUGAAGAGAGCUUGUGUGAGAUUGUUGAAGUUGAAAAAUUGGACAAUGUAGGUCCAAUUGAGACAAAACAGGGGAGGCAACGGCAAGUGAGUACUAGGAGGACUUGCAGUUCGAAAAAGGAAGCUAAUUCAAGUCUAGAUGGAAAUGGGUGUCAAGAACUAGAUCCUUCAGCUCAGAUUGUUGAUAAAAAGACCGGAGGGGGUAUGAGGGAUGAGCCAUUGAAGAGCGUUGAGAAUGAGGUUUUGGAAGAAAGAGGAGAUGUGAAGGAGUCAAAUUUGGGGCAAGAAGACUGUAAAAAAAUUAAAGAGAAUUCACUGAAUGAGGAACCAGAAGCUGUUCAAACUGUUGUAUUGGAGGAUAAGGAGGUUGGGGAGAAUGCAGAUUUGGGGCAGCAAGGCUUGAAUGAGGAGGGUGGUGUUGAGGCUGGAGACGGGCCAGAUUUGGAGAAGAUGACUCUUGGGGAUUGGUUUGAUUAUUUGGAGGUGUAUUUGCCGAAACAGAUAUAUGAUGAGACUGAAGAGAUAAUUUUGAGAAUGAAGCAGAAAGCAGAGAAAUUUCACGAGUUUGUUUUGCAGCAAAAGAAUGAUAAAGAGAAGGGUAAGCUGCCUAUGGGGUAGGUGGAAGAUUCAGAGCACUUUGAACUAUCUGUCUCAUAGGAAAAGGUCAAAUUUUGCUUAAAUAGGAUGGGAUCAAAUACAGCUCCAGGUCUUGAUCAAUGGUCGAUCUUAUUAAUGGGAAACAGGUUAGCAAUAGCAGGCUGAAGCAGCUGGUUAUGGACAGCCUGGAGCUAGCUCAAGGUGUUUGAUCCACUGCAAGUGCAUUUUUCACCAUUGAGAGAGCCAAAUUUGUUGCAGAUUCUAGGUCCACAUAUGCAUUCCACAACACAUCCAUACGUACGUGUUUUGGCUCAUUCCCUCCUUUCUUGGAGCCACUUUUGUUGUGUGAUGCGUUGGGUACUUCUCAGUUUAGAUGUGUAUCUGAAGUCUGACUAUGUACUAAAUUUCUCUUAAAAUAAAUAGAGCUGUAGAAUUGCUUGUGAAGUGUGAACUAGUUUUAGUGCCAUUAGUUAUUGUAGUUAUUCAUAUUAAUUAUGACAAUAUUCAUUUGGUUUUCCAUGCAAUUUACUUGAUUACAGAUGCUCUUGACUUU